UGCUGCUGGGUGCAGCCUUGCUCCUGACCUCCAGAGCCAAUGGUGACCUCUGCCCAGCUGUGGAGCAGGCCGUGCAGCUGUUCCUGUCCGGGCCCCCUGAUGACUAUAUUUCCAACAUGGGGAGGUAUGUCAGCAACCCAGUAGUGCUAGCUAAUGAGGCAGCACUGAAGAAAUGUGUGGACAGCAAACUGACCGAGGAGGACAAGCAACAUGCCAUGAGCGCCGUGAACAAAAUCUACUCCAGCGUACUUUGCUAAGGGAGCUCUCCCGGGGGUGCACUGCCUGAGAAGCUGGCAUCCCAUUGAGGCGCAGGCUUGA
Molecule: long non-coding RNA, 318 nt
Organism: Ochotona curzoniae (black-lipped pika)
Lineage: Eukaryota; Metazoa; Chordata; Mammalia; Lagomorpha; Ochotonidae
Exons: 3
Source: RefSeq, a predicted model, not a curated record